RNAcentral lists this ribosomal RNA (789 nucleotides) under uncultured bacterium. Its description in RNAcentral is "bacterial SSU rRNA". It matches the Rfam family "Bacterial small subunit ribosomal RNA", at positions 9 to 822 of the family's 1533-position model. The record is from RNAcentral.
GAGUUUGAUCCUGGCUCAGGAUGAACGUUGGCGGCGUGCCUAACACAUGCAAGUCGAACGAAAAACCGAAUUCUUAGGAAAUCGGCGGAUUAGUGGCGCACGGGUGAGUAACACGUAGGUGACCUGCCCCGAAGCGGGGGAUAACCACUAGAAAUGGUGGCUAAUACCGCAUGUGCUUAACCAUUCGUUUGGUUAAGUAAAACUCAGGUGCUUCGGGAGGGGCCUGCGGUCGAUUAGUUAGUUGGUGAGGUAAUGGCUCACCAAGACGAUAAUCGAUAGGGGGCGUGAGAGCGUGACCCCCCACACUGGAACUGAGACACGGUCCAGACUCCUACGGGAGGCAGCAGUGAGGAAUAUUGCACAAUGGGCGAAAGCCUGAUGCAGCAACGCCGCGUGGGGGACGAAGGCCUUCGGGUCGUAAACCCCUUUUCUGUGGGAAGAGAAAGGACGGUACCACAGGAAUAAGUCUCGGCUAACUACGUGCCAGCAGCCGCGGUAAAACGUAGAGGCGAACGUUAUCCGGAAUUACUGGGCGUAAAGCGCGCGCAGCGGCUUCGUAAGUUCGACGUGAAAGCUCCCGGCUUAACUGGGAGAGGUCGUUGAAAACUGCGGAGCUUGAGUUGGGAGAGGGAAGCGGAAUUUCCCGGUGUAGUGGUGGAAUGCGUAGAUAUCGGGAGACUCCAGUGCGAAGCGCCUCCUGGCCUACACCUGACGCUGAGCGCGAAGGCGUGGGGGGAGCGACAGAUAGAUACCCCUGUAGUCCCACGCUGUAACGAUGUGAACUAGGUG